AAUGAUCUAAGCUGUAGCACAUGGUGUGUCCCUCACACGUCAGAGUAGAGCACACAGCCAAUAUGAAUCUUUACCCAUAUGCUUCAUAAUUACAACUGGUAGAGGUACAAUCAGCCUUCUCUAUGCACAGCUGCGAUCACAUUGGUGCCUGUAAAAACAGAACGGCGCCUGAGCUCUCUGUGCAGCCCCACCUGAUUCAACACUGCUGUGUCUUCUUUGGUGGGGCGGAAACUGGAUAGUUUGUAUUCACAACAGGUGCACAGAUCAGGGACUGGGGCUUGCUGACUUCUGCUCCUUGUUCUGUAUGAACACUACUAGAACCUUCUGAGACAAAUAAGCUGUGGAAUCCUACCAGGAGAAGAAAACCCUCACAGGGGCUUCGCAUGUCAAGAUGGGUACUGCUGAAUGAAGAAUGAAGUAUUAAGAGAGCACUGGGUGAUCUCCUGAGAUUAAAAAACAAACUGGCAUAGCUAAUUAAGGCUUUAUUAAUCAGUAAUAAAAAUCACAAGAGGAGGGGUUGGGGAUUUAGCUCAGCGGUAGAGCGCUUGCCUAGCAAGCGCAAGGCCCUGGGUUCGGUCCCCAGCUCCGAAAAAAAGAACCAAAAAAAAAAAAAUCACAAGAGGAAAAAUUUCUUGGGAUCAGGAGUGGAGUUCAAUAGUAUAGUUCUUGCCUAGGAUUCACGAAACCCUGGUACUGAAAAGGAAGGAGGGAGGGAGCGAGGGAGGGAAAUGUCUUCAUAGCUUUGUGAACUCUUGUCCUUUGGCCCAGGAGUAUAAAAUGCUGUCCCAUUGAUUCCUCCUUUGUUGCAGGAUCACACAUUUUUACCAUCGAGGAGCUGAAGGUUGGUUUCUUUAGCAAUGACUCAGUUCAAACCCACGGGGUAGGUGGGGUUCUCACAUGCAAGUGAAAGUUGGAGUUUGACGAGUAACCUCCUGCCUCUGUUCAUCUGCACAGUUGCGUACCCUUCAGGUUUAUGAUGCUCUCCUCUAGGCACUGAAAGGGUUACUCAUGUCUCCUGUUUCUCCUGUGUACAAGGUUUGGGUUCUACUGGAAGAGCUCUAAGCCAUGCACCAGGCACGGCGGCACAUGCCUUUAAUUCCAGAACUUGGAAGGCAGAGGUAGAACUCAUGGUGCCUGGUGUACACUGUGAGUUCCAUACUACCCAGAAUUACAUGGUGAGACCUUGAGGGUAAAUAUAUAAAGAAACAUAUAAAUGAUCCAAGCCAUCUACUGAACUCUAAAAGAGGCAGGAAGUCGUGUUUUAUGCAACAUAUUUUGUGUAGCUCAAUGUAUUUUGUGUAGCUCACAUUUCUUUUCCUAUUUUCCUACAGGAUUCUUGAGUGUAAAUUGUAUUUCUAAAGAUGCUUCUAAAUGGUUGCUUUUUGGGGGAAUCUCCCUCCAUUUCUAGGGCACUGAACUAAUUUCAAAUCAAAUUGUGGUUAGAAUAGUGUGCGGAACAAAGAGGCAUUCGUGCCACAAAGCAGCUCCUAACAAAUGCCCACGUGAUUUCUGGGCCCUCCAACCUGGAGUUUUCUAAAAUAAUCUUAUUUUUGUACUUGUCCAUCCUGCUAAGAUGUAUACCACUGAAAAGGAGCGAGGUGUCUGACUCAGUCUGAAUAAAUAACACUUCCUACUUGGGUUC
RNAcentral lists this long non-coding RNA (1642 nucleotides) under Rattus norvegicus (Norway rat). Its description in RNAcentral is "long non-coding RNA NONRATT006503". The stretch from base 520 to 588 matches the Rfam family "tRNA". Lineage: Eukaryota; Metazoa; Chordata; Mammalia; Rodentia; Muridae. The record is from RNAcentral.